Molecule: non-coding RNA, 21 nt
Filed under: Mus musculus (house mouse)
Lineage: Eukaryota; Metazoa; Chordata; Mammalia; Rodentia; Muridae
Also listed under: 1 other name
Source: RNAcentral
UGCUGACCCCUAGUCCAGUGC